AACGUAGGACGCAAGCGUUAUCCGGAGUUACUGGGCGUAAAGCGCGGGCAGGCGGUUCUGCCAGUCUGAUGUGAAAUCUCCCCGCUCAACGGGGAGCAGCCAUUGGAAACUACAGAACUGGAGUCUGACAGAGGUAGGCGGAAUUCCGGGUGGAGUGGUGAAAUGCGUAGAUAUCGGGAGGAACACCGGUGGCGAAGGCGGCCCCCUGGUUGGAUACUGACGCUGAGACGCGAAAGCGUGGGGAGCAAACAGG
RNAcentral lists this ribosomal RNA (253 nucleotides) under uncultured bacterium. RNAcentral's name for it is "partial 16S ribosomal RNA". It matches the Rfam family "Bacterial small subunit ribosomal RNA", at positions 524 to 776 of the family's 1533-position model. The record is from RNAcentral.